UGGGGAAUAUUGCACAAUGGGCGGAAACCUGAUGCAGCGACGCCGCGUGGGGGAUGAAGGCCUUCGGGUUGUAAACUCCUUUCGACAGGGACGAAGCUUUUGUGACGGUACCUGUAUAAGAAGCACCGGCUAACUACGUGCCAGCAGCCGCGGUAAUACGUAGGGUGCGAGCGUUGUCCGGAAUUACUGGGCGUAAAGAGCUCGUAGGUGGUUUGUCGCGUCGUCUGUGAAAUUCCGGGGCUUAACUCCGGGCGUGCAGGCGAUACGGGCUGACUUGAGUGCUGUAGGGGAGACUGGAAUUCCUGGUGUAGCGGUGAAAUGCGCAGAUAUCAGGAGGAACACCGAUGGCGAAGGCAGGUCUCUGGGCAGUAACUGACGCUGAGGAGCGAAAGCAUGGGUAGCGAACAGG
Molecule: ribosomal RNA, 409 nt
Filed under: Actinomycetes bacterium
Lineage: Bacteria; Bacillati; Actinomycetota; Actinomycetes
Description: Actinobacteria bacterium partial 16S ribosomal RNA
Rfam family: Bacterial small subunit ribosomal RNA
Source: RNAcentral